This 549-nucleotide ribosomal RNA is filed under the name uncultured bacterium. RNAcentral's name for it is "partial 16S ribosomal RNA". It matches the Rfam family "Bacterial small subunit ribosomal RNA", at positions 355 to 895 of the family's 1533-position model. The record is from RNAcentral.
UGGGGAAUUUUGGACAAUGGGCGAAAGCCUGAUCCAGCAAUGCCGCGUGUGUGAAGAAGGCCUUCGGGUUGUAAAGCACUUUUGUCCGGAAAGGAAUGGCUCUGGUUAAUACCUGGGGUCGAUGACGGUACCGGAAGAAUAAGGACCGGCUAACUACGUGCCAGCAGCCGCGGUAAUACGUAGGGUCCAAGCGUUAAUCGGAAUUACUGGGCGUAAAGCGUGCGCAGGCGGUUGUGCAAGACCGAUGUGAAAUCCCCGAGCUUAACUUGGGAAUUGCAUUGGUGACUGCACGGCUAGAGUGUGUCAGAGGGGGGUAGAAUUCCACGUGUAGCAGUGAAAUGCGUAGAGAUGUGGAGGAAUACCGAUGGCGAAGGCAGCCCCCUGGGAUAACACUGACGCUCAUGCACGAAAGCGUGGGGAGCAAACAGGAUUAGAUACCCUGGUAGUCCACGCCCUAAAAGCGAUGUCAACUAGUUGUUGGGGAUUCAUUUCCUUAGUAACGUAGCUAACGCGUGAAGUUGACCGCCUGGGGAGUACGGUCGCAAGAUU